GAGCCCAUCAUGAGGGCAGGGGCAGGAGCAGGCACCACAGGGGAUGGACACAAAGCUUGUAGGGUGUCACCAGUUGGGUAGCCAGGGCCAGAUCCUGACUUCAGUGGGUGUGGGGGGUUCUCAGUAUUAGACACCCCCAUGAACAGGCACCCACUUCCAGAGCACAAUGACCGUAAGGGUCACAUGAUUACUGUGAUGGCCGAAACAAAUCCCCCUUCUGGUACUAACCCGCCUGGCAUGGACCCUGCGAUUCCAUUGGGCUGUGGAUGCCACGAGGAGCCUGGCCAGUGUGCACCCAGAAGGAAACAGGCACUGAAAGCGGAAGGCCAAACCUCCUCAAUGGGUGUGUCUUUCUCCCCCAGGGCUCAACAUCAGAGAGGCAAGAGAGCUGUGGUCCCGGGACGGGCUCCAGGACACCGAGCGCCUGGGCUACAGAAGAAUGGCCAGGGUGGGAGAGGGGGAGAUUACAGCCAACAUCCUAGUGCAACUAUUUAACAUCAGGGUCUUCGGCCAGGUGCCCGACGCACUGCAGGGGCUGUGCUCCGUGGGGCAGCCUUGAAGGGCCCCCCCCUUCGCAUGACCAGCUCCCACCCCCUGCCGCAGGUGCCCAGGCUCUUUUUGGGAAGAAGAAAUGUGGGACUCUACUACGCCUCUCUUUAGACAAUCAGCUCCUGAACAAAGUGAUAAUAUGACACCAUUACCCCAUGCUGUGAAUCCCACAAUUGUUGGCUCACAGGAAAUCUGCAAAGGUUUUCAUCAAACUUCAUCUGCAAGGAUUUCCAAACUAACACUCAUUUGGGCAAGGGACAAAUGGAAGACAGAUUUCAAAACACACUAUGGACAUUUUAACUGAUAUGCUAUUUGAGCUAAUUAACGAUCCUCUGACCUUGCAACACUUCAUCAGUGAUGUAUUUGGGGACAGUGUCAUCUAUUCGGGUGACAUACUUCUCUUUUUGGAGAAUCCAGAGCAGCACACACACCACAUCCAAACCUGGAGCGGUUUCGGCAGCAUGGUCUCAACACAGAAUUGGAAAAGCGGAACCUCCACAGAGUUUCUGGGGUACAUCUUGUCCCCAGAAGGUGUUACGAUUGAUCCAAAUAAGGUGGAAGCCAUUCAUAAAUGGGACGAAGUUUGAAGUCCUCAAGAAGUUCAGCGCUUCCUAGACUUCACUCAUCCUGUGAAAUCGAGAUGUGCUGGCUCUCAGUGAUG
Molecule: long non-coding RNA, 1210 nt
Organism: Mauremys mutica (yellowpond turtle)
Lineage: Eukaryota; Metazoa; Chordata; Testudines; Geoemydidae
Exons: 3
Source: RefSeq, a predicted model, not a curated record